Molecule: ribosomal RNA, 765 nt
Filed under: Brevibacterium casei
Lineage: Bacteria; Bacillati; Actinomycetota; Actinomycetes; Micrococcales; Brevibacteriaceae
Description: bacterial SSU rRNA
Rfam family: Bacterial small subunit ribosomal RNA
Source: RNAcentral
CAUGCAAGUCGAACGCUGAAGCCUGGUGCUUGCACCGGGUGGAUGAGUGGCGAACGGGUGAGUAACACGUGAGUAACCUGCCCCUGACUUCGGGAUAAGCCCGGGAAACUGGGUCUAAUACCGGAUACGACCGUCGGACGCAUGUCUGGUGGUGGAAAGUUUUUUCGGUUGGGGAUGGGCUCGCGGCCUAUCAGUUUGUUGGUGAGGUAAUGGCUCACCAAGACGACGACGGGUAGCCGGCCUGAGAGGGCGACCGGCCACACUGGGACUGAGACACGGCCCAGACUCCUACGGGAGGCAGCAGUGGGGAAUAUUGCACAAUGGGGGAAACCCUGAUGCAGCGACGCAGCGUGCGGGAUGACGGCCUUCGGGUUGUAAACCGCUUUCAGCAGGGAAGAAGCGCAAGUGACGGUACCUGCAGAAGAAGUACCGGCUAACUACGUGCCAGCAGCCGCGGUAAUACGUAGGGUACGAGCGUUGUCCGGAAUUAUUGGGCGUAAAGAGCUCGUAGGUGGUUGGUCACGUCUGCUGUGGAAACGCAACGCUUAACGUUGCGCGUGCAGUGGGUACGGGCUGACUAGAGUGCAGUAGGGGAGUCUGGAAUUCCUGGUGUAGCGGUGAAAUGCGCAGAUAUCAGGAGGAACACCGGUGGCGAAGGCGGGACUCUGGGCUGUAACUGACACUGAGGAGCGAAAGCAUGGGGAGCGAACAGGAUUAGAUACCCUGGUAGUCCAUGCCGUAAACGUUGGGCACUAGGUGUGGGGG